GAUGCAAGCGUUAUCCGGAUUUAUUGGGUUUAAAGGGUGCGUAGNCGNGAUAUUAAGUCAGUGGUGAAAUCCUGCAGCUUAACUGUAGAACUGCCAUUGAUACUGAUAUUCUUGAGUAUAGUUGAAGUGGGCGGAAUGUGUAAUGUAGCGGUGAAAUGCUUAGAUAUUACACAGAACACCGAUUGCGUAGGCAGCUCGCUAAACUAAUACUGACGCUGAGGCACGAAAGCGUGGGGAGCGAACAGGAUUAGAUACCCUGGUAGUCCACGCUGUAAACUAUGAUCACUCGUUGUUGGCAAUACACAGUCAGCGACUGAGCGAAAGCAUUAAGUGAUCCACCUGGGGAGUACGGCCGCAAGGUUGAAACUCAAAGGAAUUGACGGGGGCCCGCACAAGCGGAGGAACAUGUGGUUUAAUUCGAUGAUACGCGAGGAACCUUACCUGGGCUUAAAUGCAGAACGACGUCCGCCGAAAGGCAGAUUCCCUUCGGGGCGGACUGCAAGGUGCUGCGUGGUUGUCGUCAGCUCGUGCCGUGAGGUGUCGGGUUAAGUCCCAUAACGAGCGCAACCCUUAUUGUUAGUUGCCAGCGGGUAAUGCCGGGGACUCUAACGAAACUGCCGGUGUAAACCGAGAGGAAGGUGGGGAUGACGUCAAAUCAGCACGGCCCUUACGUCCAGGGCUACACACGUGUUACAAUGGCCGGUACAAAGGGCAGCUACCUGGUAACAGGAUGCUAAUCUCGAAAGCCGGUCUCAGUUCGGAUUGAGGUCUGCAGCUCGACCUCAUGAAGUUGGAUUCGCUAGUAAUCGCGCAUCAGCCACGGCGCGGUGAUACGUUCCCGGGCAUUGUACACACCGCCCGUCAAGCCAUGGAAGCACGGGGGUACC
Molecule: ribosomal RNA, 887 nt
Filed under: uncultured organism
Description: bacterial SSU rRNA
Rfam family: Bacterial small subunit ribosomal RNA
Source: RNAcentral